This 346-nucleotide ribosomal RNA is filed under the name uncultured Bacteroidota bacterium. RNAcentral describes it as "bacterial SSU rRNA". It matches the Rfam family "Bacterial small subunit ribosomal RNA", at positions 224 to 567 of the family's 1533-position model. Lineage: Bacteria; Pseudomonadati; Bacteroidota. The record is from RNAcentral.
GAUGAGCAUGCGUCCCAUUAGCUUGUUGGUAAGGUAACGGCUUACCAAGGCAACGAUGGGUAGGGGUCCUGAGAGGGAGAUCCCCCACACUGGUACUGAGACACGGACCAGACUCCUACGGGAGGCAGCAGUGAGGAAUAUUGGUCAAUGGGCGCAAGCCUGAACCAGCCAUGCCGCGUGCAGGAUGAAGCAUCUAUGGUGUGUAAACUGCUUUUGUACGAGAAGAAACACUCCUUCGUGAAGGAGCUUGACGGUAUCGUAAGAAUAAGGACCGGCUAACUCCGUGCCAGCAGCCGCGGUAAUACGGAGGGUCCAAGCGUUAUCCGGAAUCAUUGGGUUUAAAGGG